Molecule: ribosomal RNA, 426 nt
Filed under: uncultured bacterium
Lineage: Bacteria
Description: bacterial SSU rRNA
Rfam family: Bacterial small subunit ribosomal RNA
Source: RNAcentral
CAGCAGUAGGGAAUCUUCCACAAUGGACGAAAGUCUGAUGGAGCAACGCCGCGUGAGUGAAGAAGGUUUUCGGAUCGUAAAACUCUGUUGUAAGGGAAGAACACGUACGAGAGUAACUGCUCGUACCUUGACGGUACCUUAUUAGAAAGCCACGGCUAACUACGUGCCAGCAGCCGCGGUAAUACGUAGGUGGCAAGCGUUGUCCGGAAUUAUUGGGCGUAAAGCGCGCGCAGGCGGUUCUUUAAGUCUGAUGUGAAAGCCCACGGCUCAACCGUGGAGGGUCAUUGGAAACUGGAGAACUUGAGUACAGAAGAGGAAAGCGGAAUUCCACGUGUAGCGGUGAAAUGCGUAGAGAUGUGGAGGAACACCAGUGGCGAAGGCGGCUUUCUGGUCUGUAACUGACGCUGAGGCGCGAAAGCGUGGGGA